This 570-nucleotide ribosomal RNA is filed under the name Triticum aestivum (bread wheat). RNAcentral's name for it is "partial small subunit ribosomal RNA". Lineage: Eukaryota; Viridiplantae; Streptophyta; Magnoliopsida; Poales; Poaceae. The record is from RNAcentral.
AUGGCGUGCUCAUCCCGCGGCCCGAGACGGAGGCCGUCGUGGACAUGGUCGCCACCACCGACUGCGAGCGGGCGUCCUGGUCCUAUCCCUCAUCGUCCUCGACAUUUGGUACUUCGACUUCGAGUUUCGCCCGAUUUAGAUCAACGAGGCAUGGAAGAUCAGGCCGGCCGUGGACCACACCGUCCUCCCCAAGGGCAAGGCUCAAGCCAAAUGUUUCUACAAGUUUCUGAACGUGUUUGCGUGGUGAUGAUGGAGAGUUGGUGUCCAUUUCUCUGUGGAAAUGGAAUUUUCUCUGUGUGUUUAGACCGGACGUUGUGGCUCAUGGGGGUCGCGGGAUCCAUCGCCUACAACUGGUCCAGGUCCGGCAUGAAGACCAGCGUCAAGCUCAUCCACGACAGGGCUGGACUGCCACCAAAGGAGGAUAAUGAUGACAGCGACGGUGAGGACAGCUCCAACGACGUGCAUAUACGACUUGAUCCCUACCGCGUCUUCGACCGGUACUUCCGCGAGAAGGACGACAAUGGCACAGGGAAGGGCGAGGACAGUCGGGGACGAUCUUCUCCACCAUAG